Molecule: long non-coding RNA, 758 nt
Filed under: Nicotiana benthamiana
Lineage: Eukaryota; Viridiplantae; Streptophyta; Magnoliopsida; Solanales; Solanaceae
Description: long non-coding RNA (NBEN_LNC031095)
Source: RNAcentral
CAUAUUUGGUCCUCCUUGUGCUAUUUUAUUCAAUCCAAUCACACACAAAACUCAUAGAUCAACACAUUAGACUUCAAAGACUCGAAUAAAACCCCGAUUCAAAAAAAAAAAACUGAUGACAGUGUUUUUUGUUCAAUUUGGAUUUAUUUCGACGGGUAUAAGAUUAAAUCCUGCAUAAAUGAAGCUAAGCAUGAAUAGUUUGUGAAAAUUAUGAAGAAUUGCGGAGAUCUAUAAAGUGAAAUUGAGUAGAAAUCGGGUCUGAUUUUGCUAUGCUAGGUUUUACCCGAUCUAGAAUUCCAGAUUAGGAAAUUGAAGCGUAAUACUGUUCAUUUUGUUCCAUGUACUCCCUUGGUAAUCAAAACUUUACAGAUCCACCCCCAUGUUUUUUUUCCCUCUUUUUUUAUUACUUAUAAUAAUACUGUACAUUUUGUUCCAUGUACUCCCUUGGUAAUCAAAACUUUACAGAUCCACCCCCAUGUUUUUUUUCCUUUUUAUUAUUAUUUAUUAUUUAAUAAGGUAUUAAAUUAUUAAUUAGAACUAUGUACAUUGGUGGUGUAAGUGAGAAUCCAUUGACAUAUGCUAGUAUUAUCUUCUAAGUUUAUUGUAUUAUUUUCAAAAUAAUAUCUUCAACAUCUAACAAACGAGAGAAAAACAAUUCUACAACAAAAGAGAUAACACAUUCGAAGAAAAUAUAGUAAAUGAGAUCACGGACAACAAAAUAAAAGGGAGUUAUCAACUUUUUCUCAAAGUGAAUUAGU